CUACGGGGCGCAGCAGUGGGGAAUAUUGGACAAUGGGGGAAACCCUGAUCCAGCAAUGCCGCGUGUGUGAAGAAGGCCUGCGGGUUGUAAAGCACUUUCGGUUGGGAGGACUGCUUCUAGCACUAAUAUUGUUGGAAGUUGACGUUACCUUCAGAAGAAGCACCGGCUAACUCCGUGCCAGCAGCCGCGGUAUACGGAGGGUGCAAGCGUUAAUCGGAAUGACUGGGCGUAAAGCGCGCGUAGGCGGCUAGAUCAGUCGGGUGUGAAAGCCCCGGGCUUAACCUGGGAACUGCAUCCGAUACUGUCUAGCUUGAGUACAGGAGAGAAGAGUGGAAUUCCACAUGUAGCGGUGAAAUGCGUAGAUAUGUGGAGGAACACCAAUGGCGAAGGCAGCUCUCUGGCCUGAUACUGACGCUGAGGUGCGAAAGCGUGGGGAGCAAACAGGAUUAGAUACCCUCGUAGUC
This 464-nucleotide ribosomal RNA is filed under the name uncultured bacterium. Its description in RNAcentral is "partial 16S ribosomal RNA". It matches the Rfam family "Bacterial small subunit ribosomal RNA", at positions 339 to 795 of the family's 1533-position model. The record is from RNAcentral.